This 71-nucleotide transfer RNA is filed under the name Serilophus lunatus (silver-breasted broadbill). RNAcentral describes it as "tRNA-Lys". Lineage: Eukaryota; Metazoa; Chordata; Aves; Passeriformes; Eurylaimidae. The record is from RNAcentral.
CGUUAAGAAGCUAUGCAACAGCACUAGCCUUUUAAGCUAGCAACAGAGAGGCCCCCCCCUCUCCUUAAUGA